UUCAGCUCUCAGCAAGGCUCAAACUGUGAUUCCAACAGAUGCAACUGAAGAAGGUUCUGCAGCUAACGUUGGGACUCGUCCAAACUCCAGAUCAAGUCCAAGAUCUGGGGAGGGCAACAAACAGAAGGGAAUGAUUCUCCCAUUUCAACCAUUGACAAUGACUUUCUAUAAUGUCAACUACUUUGUUGACAUGCCACCGGAGAUGCGUGCUCAAGGAAUAACGGA
Molecule: non-coding RNA, 225 nt
Organism: Punica granatum (pomegranate)
Lineage: Eukaryota; Viridiplantae; Streptophyta; Magnoliopsida; Myrtales; Lythraceae
Source: RefSeq, a predicted model, not a curated record